GAUCUGGCUCAGGAUGAACGCUAGCUACAGGCUUAACACAUGCAAGUCGAGGGGCAGCAUGGUCUUAGCUUGCUAAGGCUGAUGGCGACCGGCGCACGGGUGAGUAACACGUAUCCAACCUGCCGUCUACUCUUGGCCAGCCUUCUGAAAGGAAGAUUAAAUCCAGGAUGGGAUCAUGAGUUCACAUGUCCGCAUGAUUAAAGGUAUUUUCCGGUAGACGAUGGGGA
Molecule: ribosomal RNA, 227 nt
Filed under: uncultured bacterium
Lineage: Bacteria
Description: partial 16S ribosomal RNA
Rfam family: Bacterial small subunit ribosomal RNA
Source: RNAcentral